Molecule: long non-coding RNA, 1920 nt
Filed under: Pan troglodytes (chimpanzee)
Lineage: Eukaryota; Metazoa; Chordata; Mammalia; Primates; Hominidae
Description: long non-coding RNA NONPTRT013895
Source: RNAcentral
CAGGGACAGGUUGUCGGGUGACACCAGGAGAGAGGGACAGGUUCUGUUGGUGACACCAGGACACAGGAAUAGGUUCUGUCGGGAGGACAGUGCUGAUCGUGUCUCAGCAUCAGGAAAGGAGAAAGGCAGAGGGAGAGCACUGAGAAGACUGUUCACGCCAGAGUGCUUAUUUAUUUUUAAUUUACUGCUAUAGGAUAAGCAACCAGGUAGUGUUCCUAACAGUUAGCGUUACCAAAAUUAAAGUUCAAAUUAUAUGUUUAAAAUAUUGUAGAAGAUAUAUAUUUAUACUGGACUACUUUUACACCUUCUAAUAUCCUGUCCAAGUUUGGGCGCAGAUGGUGGAGUUGGGCUGGCAUCAUGUCCUGUGGCCGCCCCACUUGCCUUUUGGUGCCACUCCAUCCCGGGCCCCAGGGAUGCCAGCUCAGGGCUGACCACAGCAGCCCUGCGUGGGCAUCACCUCCUACCCCAGCCCCCAUCCUGGGCUGCUGCGGCCGCCUGCUUUUGUGAAUGGUGUUUUGUUGGCACAGGGCCUGUCCUGUGUUUUCACACAGGCCUGUGGCUCCUGCUGUACAAGUGGAGGGGGGAGGAGUUGAGAUGGAGACGCCUUGGCCCUGGACACUUACCUGUCCCUCUACUGGCCCAGCUCAUCUCCUCCUGUGGGCAAUCACGCGUGCACUGGCCACCCUCCCACGCCACAGCACACACCACGAGGGGAUGGCACAGGGGGAAGAUGAGGCUGGACCAUGAUGUUAUCAAUAGGCUAGAACGUCCUUCAAACACUGAACCUGCAUCUUUCCUCCUCUUACUACUGAACACUUUGUGAGCUCUGGUGGUCCAGGGUGCAGCGUUUGUCCCCGGGCAUGUGAUGGGGAGUCCUGGGCACAUCGAGAUGCUUUACUUCUUUCUUUCGACCUCUUAAAAAACUAAACCAAGCCAAACCACAAAGGAAAUCUGCACAACUUAAGAGAAACUUGAAAGGGAUCGUGUAACUACUAGUUUGUACUAAGUUUUUUUCAAGAAAGGGAAACAAAUUUAUAUAUAUAUAUAUAUGUGCAAUAUAUUUUUACACUGUGUGAUUAACAUUAGGGAGUACUGAGUGCAUCACUUUAUCAGUGUGACGGGUGAUGUCCACGUCAUGGCUGUUCUGACUCUGAAAGCCACUUCUGCUGAUGUUUAAACCGCACUCACCGCGGACGUCCGCAGGGUGGGGUGGCCCUGCUGUCCCUCCUGCAGGUGAGAGGCGUGGUGUUGCCUGUUGGACUUGCUGUUGAGCCUGGCUUGCAAACCUGUAGUGAAACAGCUCGUGUCUGUGUGCACACUGCCCCUGUGUCUGCUGUCGUUAACAUUGUGUGUCAAGUUGGUAAAGUGACAAAUAAAGGUGUUAAAACAUGGAUUUCUCUGUUCCUCAGAGCACACGUGUCUGUAACAGGUGAUAACAGGGGAUAGGUACUGGAGGGGCCCCAGGUGGGGAGUGUGCUGAGUGCCUCCACUGGGCUGAAGCUCACAGGGCCAAGGCCCUUGUGUCCCCUUUUCCCGAGGGAGUCUCUCGCUUCCUCAUCUAGACAGGAGGACUGUGAAGGAGGAGCAGGCGGACCAGCCAUCUGUCAGGUGUGAGUCCUGCUCUAGCACUGGUGUAGCCCUGGGUGGGGUCUAGAUUCAAGGGGAAUAGACAUGAACACUGUGAACACCACCAGAGCCCCCAAAACAGGACAAUGUCAUCACGGGCUGCUAUAAAAAAAAUGCCAACCUGAGAUACUAGCCCAGCGAAACAGUUUUCCAAAAUGAGGAUACAAUAAAGGCAUUUUUGGACAAUGAAAAGAGAAUUUGCCACCAGCAGACGUUAAAAGAAAUUCUAAAUGCAGAAAGCAAAGGUGAUCUCAAAUGGCAUGUCUGGUUUGUGAAGAAAGUGGAGCAAAGAGA